UUUUCCUGCCACCGAAUACAUUAGCAUGGGAUAAUGGAAUAGGACCCUGACCUCCUAUUUUCAGUUGGUUUUGUUUACAGCGAGGUUAUAUCAGGGUAAUGAUUAAUAGGGAUAGUUGGGGGCAUUAAUAUUUAAUUGUCAGAGGUGAAAUUCUUGGAUUUAUGAAAGAUUAACUUCUGCGAAAGCGUUUGCCAAGGAUGUUUUCAUUAAUCAAGAACGAAAGUUAGGGGAUCGAAGACGAUCAGAUACCGUCGUAGUCUUAACCAUAAACGAUGCCGACCAGCGAUUAGGAGACGUUGAAUACAAAACACCGCCGUUAAUCCUUUCGGGGGUUAAU
This 337-nucleotide ribosomal RNA is filed under the name Acanthamoeba lenticulata. RNAcentral's name for it is "SSU rRNA". It matches the Rfam family "Eukaryotic small subunit ribosomal RNA", at positions 784 to 1091 of the family's 1831-position model. The record is from RNAcentral. Lineage: Eukaryota; Discosea; Longamoebia; Acanthamoebidae.